RNAcentral lists this ribosomal RNA (483 nucleotides) under uncultured bacterium. Its description in RNAcentral is "partial 16S ribosomal RNA". It matches the Rfam family "Bacterial small subunit ribosomal RNA", at positions 29 to 507 of the family's 1533-position model. The record is from RNAcentral.
UUGAACGCUGGCGGCAUGCUUUACACAUGCAAGUCGAACGGCAGCGCGGGCUUCGGCCUGGCGGCGAGUGGCGAACGGGUGAGUAAUACAUCGGAACGUGCCCAGUAGUGGGGGAUAGCUCGGCGAAAGCCGGAUUAAUACCGCAUACGACCUGAGGGUGAAAGCGGGGGAUCUUCGGACCUCGCGCUAUUGGAGCGGCCGAUGGCAGAUUAGCUAGUUGGUGGGGUAAAGGCCUACCAAGGCGACGAUCUGUAGCUGGUCUGAGAGGACGACCAGCCACACUAGGACUGAGACACGGCCCAGACUCCUACGGGAGGCAGCAGUGGGGAAUUUUGGACAAUGGGCGAAAGCCUGAUCCAGCAAUGCCGCGUGUGUGAUGAAGGCCUUCGGGUUGUAAAGCACUUUUGGCGGGAACGAAAAGGACUGUGCCAAUACCACGGUUCGAUGACGGUACCCGCAGAAUAAGCACCGGCUAACUACGUG